Molecule: ribosomal RNA, 463 nt
Filed under: uncultured bacterium
Lineage: Bacteria
Description: bacterial SSU rRNA
Rfam family: Bacterial small subunit ribosomal RNA
Source: RNAcentral
AACGAACGCUGGCGGCAGGCCUAACACAUGCAAGUCGAACGCCGUAGCAAUACGGAGUGGCAGACGGGUGAGUAACGCGUGGGAACAUACCCCUCGGUUCGGAAUAACUCAGGGAAACUUGAGCUAAUACCGGAUACGUCCGAGGUUUUAAUCGACCUUGGAGAAAGAUUUAUCGCCGGAGGAUUGGCCCGCGUCUGAUUAGCUUGUUGGUGAGGUAAUGGCUCACCAAGGCGACGAUCAGAGCUGGUCUGAGAGGAUGAUCAGCCACAUUGGGACUGAGACACGGCCCAAACUCCUACGGGAGGCAGCAGUGGGGAAUAUUGGACAAUGGGCGAAAGCCUGAAUCCAGCCAUGCCGCGUGAGUGAUGAAGGCCUUAGGGUUGUAAAGCUCUUUUACCCGGGAAGAUAAUGACGGUACCGGGAGAAUAAGCCCCGCUAACUUCGUGCCAGCAGCCGCCGUAAG